CUCUCACGUCUCUCUCUUUCUUCCCCCAUCCCACCAAGCUCCAUGUCUUCUGUCCCUCUCUUUCUCUCUCUCGUCCCCAAAGUUCUCUCUCUGUCUCCCCCAUUUUUGCUCCCCCCUGUACCACCAAGCUCUCAGCGUGGAAACCUAAUGUAGAAAGUGGAAAGGCGAGGGAUAGAAGAGAAUCAACCCUAAUCUCUAACCAAAAUCGGAAUGGAAUGAAAUGAAAGUUAUCAAAGUUUCCAUGUUUCUUGUUGGAUUAGCUUGAGGCUUGGGGGUUGGAUCGACAAUGAAUAUGGGCUUGAGGCUGGGGGGUUGGAUCAACAAUGAAUAUGGGCUUGAGGUUUUGGUAUGGGUCUGGCAUAUGUUGUUGCCUUUUCAAGAAUUGUUUUUGCAAAUAUAUGAUAUAAAUUGCUGGAAAUAAAGAAAUUUGAUGAAAGUCUUAUAGGCUGCUGCUCUGAUCUUGAUGUGCUUGAGGCUUCGGUAUCGAUAUGCCAUAUGUUGUUGCCUUUGUUAUAUUACCAAGCCUUGGGUUUUACGCAUGUCACAGUCAUUUGGAACUUUAGCUAGCAAGGAAUUUGAGGCAAUAGUUCAAUGCCCAAAUAUUACUGGUGCUUACUACAGGGAAAGUUAUAAGUUAUUGAAUGUAAUAUGUAAUGUAGCUGAUUGUAUUUUUCCUUGAUAAAAUGAUCACAGUCUUUUUUUUUUUUUCAAGAAUUGUUUUUACGAAUAUAUGACAGAAAUUAUAGGAAAUAAAGAAAAUUGAUGAAAGUCUCA
Amborella trichopoda is the source of this 774-nucleotide long non-coding RNA. RefSeq lists it as uncharacterized. The record is from RefSeq and is a predicted model, not a curated record. Lineage: Eukaryota; Viridiplantae; Streptophyta; Magnoliopsida; Amborellales; Amborellaceae.